UGCCAGCCGCCGCGGUAAUACGGAGGGUGCAAGCGUUGUUCGGAAUUAUUGGGCGUAAAGCGUGCGUAGGCGGAUUGUUAAGUCGUUUGUGAAAAUCCGGGGCUCAACCCCGUGAAAUGCAAGCGAUACUGGCAGACUGGAGAUCGGUAGAGGCUAGCGGAAUUCCUGGUGUAGCGGUGGAAUGCGUGGAUAUCAGGAAGAACACCCGUGGCGAAGGCGGCUAGCUGGGCCGAGUCUGACACUCAUCCGCGAAAGCGUGGGGAGCAAACAGGAUUAGAUA
This 280-nucleotide ribosomal RNA is filed under the name uncultured bacterium. RNAcentral describes it as "partial 16S ribosomal RNA". It matches the Rfam family "Bacterial small subunit ribosomal RNA", at positions 506 to 784 of the family's 1533-position model. The record is from RNAcentral.